RNAcentral lists this long non-coding RNA (286 nucleotides) under Elaeis guineensis (African oil palm). RNAcentral's name for it is "long non-coding RNA (EGUI_LNC068723)". The record is from RNAcentral. Lineage: Eukaryota; Viridiplantae; Streptophyta; Magnoliopsida; Arecales; Arecaceae.
GGAGCUAUUUCUGCUGUCAAGAUUUGCUCUGAUGGAAUAUGGGUAUAAAUAUCCCUCCAACCUAAGACCGCCACAGUGACUUGCAAGCAACUCACUACACUUAGGCACUGGACUACCUGAAUUUCUAAUUCAGUGACGGAAGGCUGCUGGGUGUAGUCAAGUACUUGACUUGUUGGUGCGUGUGUCAAGAUGAGAUUGACCACUCUAGUUUAGGAGCUGUGUACAAUCAUGUUUUAAUUUAGCAAAACUUUGGCCAGAGUAGUCUUUGUGAGGAGUCACAGGACUG